RNAcentral lists this ribosomal RNA (627 nucleotides) under Triticum aestivum (bread wheat). Its description in RNAcentral is "partial small subunit ribosomal RNA". The record is from RNAcentral. Lineage: Eukaryota; Viridiplantae; Streptophyta; Magnoliopsida; Poales; Poaceae.
AUGGAGCAAGGUCGUGGCGCUGCCGCCGCUGCGCAUGGAGUUGUGGUCGAGGCCGUGAACACCGCAGCAGAUGCCGUCCAAGAAGUGGCCGCCGUCGGCGGUGCGGGAGAUGUUGUACCCGCAGUCGCUGGUGCGGUCGCUGUGGCGGCGGAUCUGGUGGAGCAGGGGGUGGUGGGCUCGGACUCCGUCGUGCCGGACCUGGUGGUGACGGCGUCUGGCGGCGCACUGGAUGUAGGUGCGGAGGCGAGCGACAAGCAGGUGGUGGAUGUGGAAGAGGAAGCUGCUGGCACCAAGAGGAAGCUGGCCAUCACUGGGUUCAACGACCCGUAUGAUUCUGACUAUGACGACGACGACAACGUGUAUGAGUACAAGUCUGGAGAUGAGGUGGACGAUUGGAACCAAGAGUCCUUCAUUGAGCAUGAAGCCGAGAAGAUCAGAGAGAAGGGGAAGGUGGCGUACUACAAGUGGGGCAAGUUCAGGUGCCCAUAUUGCACCACUAAGCCAAUUCCCAAGGAUGGGUUGUAUGAGCACCUUAUGUUGCAUGCACGCGGUUUAGCGACGAGUGGGAACCACGUGAAGAUCAGGGUAGAGCAUGCAACCCUCCUGAAGGCUAUGGGUACCAUCUAG